AGGGAUGCAGUCUGGGACACGUAGUUGCAAACCUAGCGACUUUGUUGUUAGAUUCAAUGACUUUUCAGACCCCCUAACAACUUUUUUUAGAAAGAAAGGGACUUUUAUCGACUUCUUCUGGAGUUUAGAGACUCUGACAUGAAGCAGGCUUUCCUUACUGAGGAGUUAGCAACGCUGCUAAGGGUGCAGAGCCACACAUGCGCUCCGAGCUCUGCAUGGGAGACUGAAGCUGACAGAGCUGCAGCAGUUAGCAGGUUUCACCCUCAGAGACCACCAGGGGUUCAUGUUGAGGCAUUUUCAGUUUUUUUUUUUUUUUUUGCCAUAGACACUGUCAGCACAAUCUGCAGUUACACUAACAAAAAUGCUGCAAAAAACAAAGAAUUAUGGAAAAAUUACACAUGGACUAACAUAGAGGAGGAUCUACACAAGUUUUUUACAUCAUGUUUUACAUCAUGCAUCAUUUACAUCAUGUUUUUUUGUAGUGGCAUAAAUAAAAAGUGACAUUUGUGAGACUAUACAGUGUUUUGUAAAUAAUUUUACAAAGAACACCUGGGCCAUUGCCUGCAUUUUGAUGUCAAUAGAGGUAAAUUACUAUGUUCUUUGUUAAAAAUUUGCAUAUGUUUUGAAGUUUACAAUUUUUAUUUGAAGUUUAAGUUUUAAAAACAGUUCAUCACACAUAUUUGUGGUUUUCACAGUAAAAACGUUACUUUUUUUUCCUCGGAUUUUAUGUUUUGUGUGUGAAUUUGGGUCCAAUGUGUAAAUAUAGUAUGUCAAAAUGGUAAAAUAACUGUAAAUUGACACAGGUGAGGUUGUGCUGAAAAAAAUGAUACCAGGCAAGGCAAGGUAAAAAUUUUGUAAGAGGAAAUAUAAAGGUAAAAUCUAAAGUAGUCAAAAACGGCCAAUAGUGACUCACAGACUCCACAGACAAGUCCCUUUGGCGCCACUCAGUGGGCAAAA
Non-coding RNA from Xyrichtys novacula (pearly razorfish), 957 nucleotides. The record is from the annotation of a GenBank genome assembly. Lineage: Eukaryota; Metazoa; Chordata; Actinopteri; Labriformes; Labridae.